Molecule: long non-coding RNA, 1147 nt
Organism: Papaver somniferum (opium poppy)
Lineage: Eukaryota; Viridiplantae; Streptophyta; Magnoliopsida; Ranunculales; Papaveraceae
Exons: 4
Source: RefSeq, a predicted model, not a curated record
UAUUUUGUUUCUUAUUGUCGUAAAAACGAAAACUAAUCAGAUCCCAUCACCACCAUCUUCAUCGUCGCAACCUCCGCUCCAGCACCACCAUCACUAAUCCCACCACCAGUUCCAGUACCACCUCCACCAAAUCCACCACCAGCGGCACCACCACCUCCUAAAGAAUCGAUUUAGAUCGAUUUUCAACUUCAAAACUUAAAUCCAGUGGUGAAUCAACCAGAAACUAAAUCCCAAAACCUAAUCUUGAGCAUCAAAAUUAUUGAAUUCAUCUCGAUAUCAAUUGGAUUUGGCUUGAAGAACCUUAAAUCGAUGAUAACUAUGUUGGAUCUUAAUUAUCUGCAUCGAUUGGGAAGAGACGAUGAAAUUCGUGAUCAAUAAUAGAAUUUUAAACGAAUUUAAAUUGAUUAUCGUCUUUCUCUUAUAUAAGUUUCUGCUGCUGGUGGUCAUAAUGGAGAUGGAAAGAAGCUGAAAUGACAAAAUUGAUAAUGGAAAUUGUGUUGGUUUUGUUGAAAUGAUGAAAUUGGAAAUGGAGAGGUUAAAUGUUGUUUGCAGUGAGGUUAAAGUAAUGAAAUUGAUGAUGGAGAUUGUGGUGGUUCCGGUUGUUGUGGUGGCGGCGGUGGAGAUUGGGUGUGAUUGACUGAUUGUUGUUGGUAAUGGUGAGGUUGGAAUGAUAGAUUGGUGUAUUACUACUCCGUCAACUGUUGAAGUUACUGAAUCUGAUUUGAAAUUAAAACAGCUUGUGAUGUCUGCAUGACAAUUUCCUGGCGAAAAUCACAGGCGAUGGGGAAGGGAAUGGAAAAUAAUGGAGAUUCGGAUGUAGAUUUUGAUGUGGUUGUGUAGUUACUAGUGCUCAAAUUUUAUACUCCCAACAUGCGAGAACUGAAGAGAACUAAAGUUUAGCUUAAUAGAGCAAGUCGUCUUGUAUUGAAGGAAGAUGAUAUCGUUGGUAUUUUAGAGAGUGAGGAUGUCAAGAUCUUAAACUCAUGAAAGAUCGUCUUUUAAUUAAGUAUAAUUGGUGAAGAAAAUGUUAGAGACUGCAAAUGGUGGCGUUGGUGAAUUUUAGGUUCGUUGACUUUUAGGUUCAACUGUUGGGUACUUGAUUAUUUGCGCAACCUGGGUUGAAAGCUUGUGUCAGUGAGAACUUGCA